CCCGUCCCUGGGAUUCUCCAGGCAAGAACACUGGAGUGGGCCGCCAGUGCCUUCUCCAUAUACUAGUUUACAUCUGCUAAUUCCAAACUCCUAGUCCUUCCCUCCCUGACCUCUCCUCCCCCUUGGACUGCAUUCCUGUAAAAACAUUUUUUUUGCCCUACACUUCUUUGUUUCCCCCUUGCUACCAGCAGGAAUGCAGAGCUGGGGCCAACACGGGUGGACAGUGUUCUCUGGAGCAGGGCUACUCAAAGUGUGGGCCACAGACUGGCUGCUUGAUACAGUCCAUGACAAGGAACAGCCCUCCAGCUCCUACACCAGGAACAAAGGAGGUGGGAGAUUAGUGUGGGGGAGAGCAGAGGAAGCAGCCUGUGCAUGUCCAGAGGGGAACGAGAUCAGCUCCACUGGGAAUACUCCUUUGGGAAUCGAAUCUCACAGCAUUAUUUGUAAGGAUUUACUCAAGGAAUUAUCCAGUUUAAGUACCACGUGUAUUCACGAUCUACAGGUGCCUCCCUGUAUGAGCCUUAGGAGGAGGAGAAGCCGGGCAUGUUUCUGACCUCAAGGAGCCACUGCUGAGUGUUCAGUUGCUCAGGCAUGUCCAGUUCUUUGUGACCCCAUGGACUGUAGCCCAGCAGGCUCCUCGGUCCAUGGGGUUUUCUGGCAAGAAUACUGGAGUGGGUUGCCAUUUCCUCUUCCAGGGGUUCUUCCUGACCCAGGAAUAGAACUGGUGUCUCCUGCAUUGGCAGGCGGAUUCUUUACCACCUGGAAGCCACAGGGAGUCAGACACGCAUGCUUUCUGCAGUGUAUGUAGAGCAGUAAUGUUGUUUGUACUUCCUCGCCCCACCUGCUCCAGGAGGGCAGCCAUUUUGUCCUUUCACAGCGGUGCCCCUGGCACCUAGAAUAGUACCAGGGCACAGUGAGCUCUCAGUGUUUGUGCUGAUGAAUGAGUGCAACAUACCUGUUGAAUGAAUGAGAAAACAAAUCAGAAAGGAACGUCAUGGAGACUGGACCCCAAAGAGGAUCUGCGAGCUACCCACGCCAGGCUCCUGGGACCGGGUCUCGCACCUGUCUACUGACCCUCUGCCCACUGAUCCUUCCAAUACACGAUGGGAGGGUUGCAAAAAGGGCCAAAGGGCCGUUCUGGGAAGAACUGAGAAGACAUCAAGAAAACAACGAUGUGAGGAUUCUGGGAAUAUAGCAGUGAUAUUGGCAACAGCAGCAGACACUGUUGUUUUGCUUUUACACCUUUACUGAGAUAUAAUUCAUAUACCAUACAAUUCACCCAUUUAAAGUGUACAAUUCAGCAAUUUUCAGUAUGUCCACAAAAUUCUGUAACCAUCACCACAGUCAAUUUUAGAACAUUUUUGUCACCCUCAAUAGAAACACUGUUCCUAUUAGUAUUCAUUCCCCAUUUUCCUCCAAACCACGCCCUUCCUCCCAGUCCUAGGCAACCACUAGGGCGGCAUUCUCUCUCUAAAGAUUUGUCUGAUCAGUAUUUGGUCCUUGGUGACUAGCUCUUUGCACUUAGCAUAAUAUUCUCAAGAUUCACCCAUGAUGCAGCAUAUAUCAGUACUUCCUUGUUUUUUAUUGAUGAAUACAAUAUAUGGGUAUAGCACAUUUAAUUUAUUCAUUUAGCCAUUGAAGGACAUUUGGGUCAUUUCCAUUUUGGGGCUGUAACAAAUACUGCAAUUAUGAUAUUUUUAUUAGACAUAUGUUUUCAUUUCUCUUGAGCAUUAUCCUGGAUGGAAUUUCUGGGACAUAAGGAAACUUCAUGUUCACAAUUCGAGGAACUGACAAACUGUUUUCUAAAGCAGCGGCCCCUAACCUUUUUGGCACCAAGAACCAGUUUCAUGGAAGAAAAUGCAACCAAUGGUUCGGGCAGUAAUGCAAGCGAUGGGGAGUGAUGUGGAGCGGCAGAUGAAGCUUCACUUGCUUGCCUGCCGGCCGCUCACCUCCAGCUGUACCAAUCCACAGUCAGGAGGUUGAGGGCCCCCGUUCUAGAGUGACUGCACCAUUUUACAUUCCCUCCAGCUAUAUUUGAGGAUUCUACACCCUUGCUAACACUCGUUUAUCCAUUUUUUUAUUAUGCCCUUCCUAGUGGGUAUCUCAUCUGGUUUUGUGCUUUUAUUUGUUUUUAUUUUAAACUU
Long non-coding RNA from Bubalus bubalis (water buffalo), 2144 nucleotides. RefSeq lists it as uncharacterized. NCBI's taxonomy places the organism in Eukaryota, Metazoa, Chordata, Mammalia, Artiodactyla, Bovidae. The transcript has 3 exons. The record is from RefSeq and is a predicted model, not a curated record.